AGCCCCGAUAUAGAGCAGACUCUCAGCUUGCAGAUAUAUAUAAUGAUCAGGGGUGCGUGUGUGUGUGUGUGCGUGUGUGUGCGCCUGUGUGUGUGUGUCUUAAACAGGGGGAUUCGAGGUUAGAAACAGAUAUGAGAGAGACAGAGAGGGGGAGAGACAGAGAGGGAGAGAGAGGGAGACUGUUAGCAAUUUUCAUUCAAGCUGACAGUCUGGCAUGUGCUGAAUGGCUCUCUCUCUCUCUCUCUCUCUCUCUCUCAGUUAACAGCGUGCACCGAGGUAGAGAGACUGACUGAGAGGGAAGGAAGGAGAGGGGGAAGGAGAGGGAGAGGAGAAAGAGAGAGGUUAGAGCAAAGGAGAAAGAGGAUAGAGGGAGAGGAGGGGAGAGUAAGAGGAGAAAGAGAGGAGGGAGAGUAAGAGGAGGAAGAGAGGAUAGAGGGAGAGUGGAGAAAGAUUAUAAAGGAGAGAGGAAGAAAAGACUGAAAUAGAGGAGAAAGGGGUUAGAGAGAAGAGAGGUAGAAUAAAGGCAAGAGAGGGGAAGGAGAGGAAGCGAGUGGAGGAGAAAGGGAGGAGAGUUAAAAGAGAAGAGGGAAUGAGGGAGAGGAGUUAGAGGGAAGGACAGAGAGAGAGAGAGAGAGAGAGAGAGAGAGAGAGAGAGAGAGAGAGAGAGAGAGAGAGAGAGAGAGAGAGAGAGAUGAUCCAGAGGUCGAGUCGGGGUCUGGUUUGCCUGCCUCUCUGCUGCAUGGAAGCAGGACCCUGACUGCGUGUGACUGAGAGAGCGUCUCCGUCAGGAACCAGGUAAAGCUGCACUGAGCUGGAGACCGGAGACAGACUGCAAAACAAACGAGCCAACAGGGAGUUCAGGGUUCAGACUGCCAGCUCGCUCUUUAUUUGUUUUUUAUCAAGGUUUUGGCUUUUUACACUGCAGAGAUUAGAAACUAAGCAGGGGAGCUGAGUGAGAGACGAGACCGAGAGAGAGGAGAGAUGAGAGAGGAGAGAGGAGA
Acipenser ruthenus (sterlet) is the source of this 1001-nucleotide long non-coding RNA. RefSeq lists it as uncharacterized. The transcript has 3 exons. The record is from RefSeq and is a predicted model, not a curated record. Lineage: Eukaryota; Metazoa; Chordata; Actinopteri; Acipenseriformes; Acipenseridae.